UGGCAACACUAAUACACUUUCUGUCUC
RNAcentral lists this non-coding RNA (27 nucleotides) under Homo sapiens (human). The record is from RNAcentral. Lineage: Eukaryota; Metazoa; Chordata; Mammalia; Primates; Hominidae.